UACGUAGGGUGCAAGCGUUAAUCGGAAUUACUGGGCGUAAAGCGUGCGCAGGCGGUGAUGUAAGACAGAUGUGAAAUCCCCGGGCUUAACCUGGGAACUGCAUUUGUGACUGCAUCGCUGGAGUGCGGCAGAGGGGGAUGGAAUUCCGCGUGUAGCAGUGAAAUGCGUAGAUAUGCGGAGGAACACCGAUGGCGAAGGCAAUCCCCUGGGCCUUCACUGACGCUCAUGCACGAAA
RNAcentral lists this ribosomal RNA (235 nucleotides) under uncultured bacterium. RNAcentral describes it as "partial 16S ribosomal RNA". It matches the Rfam family "Bacterial small subunit ribosomal RNA", at positions 524 to 758 of the family's 1533-position model. The record is from RNAcentral.